GAUUAAGCUACUAAGGGCGUAUGGUGGAUGCCUUGGCGUCAAUAGGCGAUGAAGGACGUGGCAAGCUGCGAUAAGCUCCGGGGAGGUGCAAACAACUCUUGAUCCGGAGAUGUCCGAAUGGGGAAACCCGAUGCGGUAAACCCGCAUCACGAAGAAAUGAAUUCAUAGUUUCUUCGGGCAAACGAGGUGAACUGAACCAUCUUAGUAACCUCAGGAAGAGAAAGAAAUUUCGAUUUCCUAAGUAGCGGCGAGCGAACGGGAAAUAGCCUAAACCGAGCUGUAUGGAAGUCAGCAUGCGUUGUACAGCCGGGGUUGCGG
Molecule: ribosomal RNA, 318 nt
Filed under: Candidatus Krumholzibacteriia bacterium
Lineage: Bacteria; Candidatus Krumholzibacteriota; Candidatus Krumholzibacteriia
Description: partial 23S ribosomal RNA
Rfam family: Bacterial large subunit ribosomal RNA
Source: RNAcentral